This 460-nucleotide ribosomal RNA is filed under the name uncultured bacterium. Its description in RNAcentral is "partial 16S ribosomal RNA". It matches the Rfam family "Bacterial small subunit ribosomal RNA", at positions 338 to 795 of the family's 1533-position model. The record is from RNAcentral.
CCUACGGGUGGCAGCAGUGAGGAAUAUUGGUCAAUGGGCGCGAGCCUGAACCAGCCAAGUAGCGUGAAGGAUGACUGCCCUACGGGUUGUAAACUUCUUUUAUAAAGGAAUAAAGUGCGGCACGUGUGCCUUUUUGUAUGUACUUUAUGAAUAAGGAUCGGCUAACUCCGUGCCAGCAGCCGCGGUAAUACGGAGGAUCCGAGCGUUAUCCGGAUUUAUUGGGUUUAAAGGGAGCGUAGAUGGGUUGUUAAGUCAGUUGUGAAAUUUUGCGGCUCAACCGUAAAAUUGCAAUUGAUACUGGCAGUCUUGAGUACAGUUGAGGUAGGCGGAAUGCGUGGUGUAGCGGUGAAAUGCUUAGAGAUCACACAGAACACCGAUUGCGAAGGCAGCUUACUAAACUGCAACUGACAUUGAUGCUCGAAAGUGUGGGUAGCAAACAGGAUUAGAUACCCUGGUAGUC